AUUUAGCUAACGAGUCCAAAAUAUGACGAAACAUACGUCCUAGAU
Schistosoma rodhaini is the source of this 45-nucleotide non-coding RNA. The record is from Rfam. NCBI's taxonomy places the organism in Eukaryota, Metazoa, Platyhelminthes, Trematoda, Strigeidida, Schistosomatidae.